AGAAAGAAAUAGAGAAAAAAAGAAAGAAAGAAGAUAACUAAGCCAUUACAAAACGAGGCCAGUAUCAUGUCUGGUGGGAGCAAUGUCCAGCCACACAAAACAGCUAUUCUGGAACUUUCAGAACAGGACUAUAUCUGUCCUAGAACAACACAGGAGUUAGAGGUGCUGACCUCCCCCCCCCACCUCCACUUCCAUACAGUCUGCACAUAAC
This is a long non-coding RNA of Suricata suricatta (meerkat), 211 nucleotides long. RefSeq lists it as uncharacterized. The transcript is spliced from 3 exons. Lineage: Eukaryota; Metazoa; Chordata; Mammalia; Carnivora; Herpestidae. The record is from RefSeq and is a predicted model, not a curated record.